Chloroflexi bacterium RBG_16_48_8 is the source of this 208-nucleotide non-coding RNA. NCBI's taxonomy places the organism in Bacteria, Bacillati, Chloroflexota. The record is from Rfam.
GUCGUCGCCAGGCGGGGUCUGAAGGAAGCCGUAGACAAACCUGCCAUGCUUCGGCUUCGCUCAGCGCAGGCUCUGAGGGACACAAACCCCAUAAAGAGGUUGUGAGGUCGGGCGAGUUGGCCUAUGACAAUGAAGCCCUGAGGAAUGUUCAUUGAAAAGAAGUGGAGCUAGUAAGCAUCGGGAAGCGCUACCAGGAACUGCAUUUGGC